Molecule: ribosomal RNA, 497 nt
Filed under: uncultured bacterium
Lineage: Bacteria
Description: partial 16S ribosomal RNA
Rfam family: Bacterial small subunit ribosomal RNA
Source: RNAcentral
GAUGAACGCUGGCGGCGUGCCUAAUACAUGCAAGUCGAGCGAACAGACGAGGAGCUUGCUCCUCUGACGUUAGCGGCGGACGGGUGAGUAACACGUGGAUAACCUACCUAUAAGACUGGGAUAACUUCGGGAAACCGGAGCUAAUACCGGAUAAUAUAUUGAACCGCAUGGUUCAAUAGUGAAAGACGGUUUUGCUGUCACUUAUAGAUGGAUCCGCGCCGCAUUAGCUAGUUGUUAAGGUAACGGCUUACCAAGGCAACGAUGCGUAGCCGACCUGAGAGAGUGGUCGGCGACAUUGGAACGGAGACACGGACAAGACGCCUAAGGGAGGCAGCAGUAGGGAAUCUGCCGCAAUGGGCGAAAGCCUGACGGAGCAACGCCGCGUGAGUGAUGAAGGUCUUCGGAUCGUAAAACUCUGUUAUUAGGGAAGAACAAAUGUGUAAGUAACUAUGCACGUCUUGACGGUACCUAAUCAGAAAGCCACGGCUAACUACGUG